CUCGUAGGCGGUUUGUCGCGUCGGGAGUGAAAACUCAGGGCUCAACCCUGAGCGUGCUUCCGAUACGGGCAAACUAGAGGUAUUCAGGGGAGAAUGGAAUUCCUGGUGUAGCGGUGGAAUGCGCAGAUAUCAGGAGGAACACCGGUGGCGAAGGCGGUUCUCUGGGAAUUACCUGACGCUGAGGAGCGAAAGCAUGGGGAGCGAACA
Molecule: ribosomal RNA, 207 nt
Rfam family: Bacterial small subunit ribosomal RNA